UGCACCAUGGUCUGGGCUGCUCUCCUGCUCACGCUCCUCUUUCACUGCACAGGGUCCCUCUCCCAGCCUGUGCUGAUUCAGGAGCCCUCAGUCUCAGCAUCUCCUGGAUCAACAGCCAAACUCACCUGCACCCUGAAGAGUGGUAUCAGUGUUGGCAGCUAUAGAAUAUUCUGGUACCAACAGAAGACUGGGAACUCUCCCAGGUUUCUCCUUAGUUAUUACACAAGUACAAAUUUGGGAUCCGGAGUUUCCAAUCGCUUCUCUGGAUCAAAAGACACCUCAGCCAAUGCGGGACUCCUGCACAUCUCUGGGCUGCAGCCUGAAGAUGAGGCUGUCUAUUACUGUAUGAUUGAUUACAGUGGUUCUAAUCACAGUGACACAGGCAGAAAUGCCUCUAAUGAUGCACCUGACUGCGAUUCGAGAUGCAACUUACCUCCUUGUAAAUCAAGGGAUCACUUCUCAGAAUGUGGUGACUCAAGAACCAUGACUAGUCACAACUGCUGGAGACACAGUUACAUUCACCUGUGGCUUCAGUACUGGGGUUAUCUUUUUCAGGUACUGAAGAAUUUCCGCAAAGAGAUCAUCUGGCCUUUCUUUUCAGGCACCGAAGUUUCAGUUGUGAAAUAA
Molecule: non-coding RNA, 627 nt
Organism: Sorex fumeus (smoky shrew)
Lineage: Eukaryota; Metazoa; Chordata; Mammalia; Eulipotyphla; Soricidae
Source: the annotation of a RefSeq genome assembly